AAAAUCUUUGCUGGAAAAAAAAAAUAAAUUAAUAAAUUUUUGCUACUCACCCUUUUUGUCCAAACAUUUUUGACCCAUAUAUAUUUUUAACACUUCAACCUUUUAUAAUUCGGGGAAGUUUUAUGCAAAUUAACCCUAGUUUUUAUUUCCCCAUUUCUUUUACAUUUCGGUCGGUCAAGCGGAGCUUGAAAAACGAAUUUAAACAAAUUUCCUCUUAGAUCUAGAUCUGAGCUUUCUCAAAGCAUCUCUUGAAUUAAUAGCUUCAGUGAUGUUUAGGCGCGGGAACAAAACCUCAAAGCCAUGGAAUGUUAGCCUGAACCCUCAGGUGCCGGUAUUGGUUACAUUUCUUAUUAUAAUCCUUGUAGUUUUUUUAUGGUGGUUUCAUGAUAAUGGAGAGAAAUCCAGUUCUUCGUUUGGGAUUAAAAUGCAGAAAUGGAAUAGCUUUGAAUCAUUGGUUCAAUUUAACCAGACUGUGGAGUUUAGGAAUGGAACUGAUGUUAUAUGGCAAAUACCCAAUUCACCAAAGGCAGUCCUCUUUUUAGCACAUGGGUGUGACGGUCGAGCUGCUAACUUUUGGGACAGAUCUGCUAACUGCCCGAAUUGCGUUGGUUUGCCAGAAGAAAGGCUAAUUGUCCUUCAUGCUCUCGCUCGGAACUUUGCUGUUCUUACUGUAUCAAGUGCAGGGAGAUGCUGGUCAUUUGGGAAGGAAAAAUUGAUUGUUAAAGGUAUUAUCAAAUGGUGGGUUGAGAAAUACAAGUUUGAGAAGAUUCCUCUUGUGGCUUUGGGGGCCUCCUCCGGUGGGUACUUUGUUUCAUUGCUUGCCACCAAUCUGAGAUUUAGUAGCAUUACAAUUAUGAUUGCAGAAGGCAUGUUUGAUCAAAUGGAUAUUACAAAGAAAUACCCACCGACCCUAUUUGUUCACAUGCCCAAAGACGAAGCUAGGAAGCAGAGGAUAGAUGAAAAUCUGGAAGUUCUGAAGGAAAAAGGCAUUGAUGUUGCAGAUAUCAAGUGCAUGGAGUUCCCUUUGUCACCAACUUUCUUAGCUGACAGGAUUCCAGGUCUUGGUCAGUCUAUUUCAGAGAAAUUGUUUGAUCUAUUCCAUGACAAGGGAUUCAUUGAUAAAAAUGGUUAUAUGAGAAAUGAUGGGCGUGCAAUCCGUUGGAAAGCAGGUCUCAGAGAAAGAGGGAUGCAUUUGCCAGAUGGGCAUUUAGCUCAUCACAUUCAGGAAGAACUGAAUCUUGCAUUUGCAUAUCAUGAAAUGACUAGUUUGCAGUCUGAGAAAAUCUUUGACUGGUUUGAAUCUCAUAUGAGCUGAUCAAGACUCUAUUCUGCUACAUUCUCCCUUUUCCUGACCUUGGAAGAACAUCAUGGACAACCAAUGUAAUUUUCAGAUGAGCAUAUAUUACUGACUGUCAUCAAAACCAACUCAAAGUGGGAACAGUCAUGGGAAACUUGUCAAAAGUUUUACCUCUAGUCUAUCUUGGAUCUGGUCAGUUACGCAAGAAGAAAAAAGAAAAAGGGCAAAAUUAGAGAAAAGACAGAUAUCUCUCCAUUUAGUGCAGUAGGUGCUAUCCUAGGUGAGGAUAAUUUUGUUCUAGAAGGAAAAUCCAAUAGUGCAGCAUGAACUCACCAGCACCAAAAGUCAAAGUGCUACAUUCUGGAUAUGAAAACCCUCCUAUAAGGACCAUUGACAAUGUAUCAAAUGUGAAAACUGGUGUUCAUGGAUCCAUGGCAGGCGCGAUAUUAGUUUGAUGAUCAUCACACAUUUGAAAGGAGGGAAACUGUUGUUAACAAAAUAAAAGAUCCUCUCUCUCUCUAUUAUCUGGGUGUAGAAAAGGAGGAGGAUUAUUUAUUCUAAGUAUAGUUUAUCCUCACUGACUGCUUGUAACUUGGGACUUUCUGGUGGAGGAGACAUAGCCAAGCUGGACAUCCAACUGCUGAGAAGCCUUUCGGACAUGAUUGGUUCCAUAGACACGAACCAGAUAUGGUUGAGGCCAUUGGUCUUGUUGCACUUAUUCCAAAUUUUGUGGCACUUGGUUAUGUAGAACCUCCUGCAUCAUCGAUGUACUCAAUUGGUGAUCUUAGGAGUUAAAAAGGCGGCAUUGCUUUUGAGUUUUCUAUGUAUAAAUUUACUUUAGAAUAGCUGGCCAUGAUGCUUGAAUGCAUUAAAUGGUAGCUUCAUCUUUUCUGUUCCUUAUACUUCAGGGGAACGGUUGAUUUAUUCAAUGAGUUGUCUUCUACAGGGGAAAAGAAAAAACACACUAUUAAAAUGGUGUUUCCUUGUUUUUCUGCUUGCUUACUGGUUUUCAGUAAGCAUAAUUAAUUUCAUAGACUAUUAUUUGGAUU
Cornus florida is the source of this 2346-nucleotide RNA transcript. RefSeq lists it as uncharacterized. The record is from RefSeq and is a predicted model, not a curated record. NCBI's taxonomy places the organism in Eukaryota, Viridiplantae, Streptophyta, Magnoliopsida, Cornales, Cornaceae. The transcript is spliced from 3 exons.